Colius striatus (speckled mousebird) is the source of this 2706-nucleotide long non-coding RNA. RefSeq lists it as uncharacterized. The transcript has 3 exons. The record is from RefSeq and is a predicted model, not a curated record. Lineage: Eukaryota; Metazoa; Chordata; Aves; Coliiformes; Coliidae.
UCCAGCCCCUUCUCUCCCUACAGCCUCGGGUAAACCCCCCAUAACCCCUGCUCCCCCUGUGCCCCCCCCCCCAUUGCCUCUGACCCCCAGAUCUCCCCUCGUAAUCGCUGGGACCCCCUUUGCCCUCCCCAGGUAAACCUUCAGCUCACCCUACACGCAGCCCCCCCGCUCCCCACCUGGCUAAACCCACACCCCGAACCCACACCAGCCCCCUCCCCAUCAUCCCCACCCCGCCCCACCACUCAGGACCCUUCCCCAGCCUGCGCCGGACCGUCCUCCACGACGUCGCGGCAAGCCCGGGCAUGUCGCGACACAACAGGGAGAUAGCUGCGGCGGUCCCUGCGUUACUCUCUCACCUCCCGACAUCCCCCCGGCCCCCCCGGUCUCGCCACGGCCAGUCCCCGAGCCCACGUACCGUGAGCUGUAGCAGCAGCAGGAGCGGGCAGAGCCGCCGGAGCGCAGCGCAGCGCGUCCGGAGCAUCUUGCGCGGGAGGGAGCGGAGCGGAGCGGGACGGGCUCCACGACGGGAACGGCACCGAGGACGACUCGGAUAAAGGCCCGGGAAGAGUUUUGCUACAACGGCAUGGCUUCUAUCGAAGACGAAAGUGAAUGGAUGAAUGUAUGGAGCAGUGGGCGGUUUAUAUAAGCGGGCGGAGACGGAGGAGGAAGAGGAGGAGGAGGAGGAGAAGGAGGAGGAGGAGGAGGAGGGGUGGCCCGGGCUUCCCUGCCAAACCUCCUGCUCCUGCCACCAACCUGAAACCACACCAGGGUUUCAGUGUGGGCUUCGGUAACAGCCCGCUUCUCCAGCUUUUAAUAGCACUUUUGGUUUUUAGCGCAUCUUCUUCCCCUCCUCCCUCCCCCUUUUUCCCCCGCUGUCCUUUUCCCACGCCAAAAUCGAUUUGCAAACCUCUCAAACCAAAUAGGAGCCAUCAGGAAUGUUUCUCUCCCCCCUCCCCACACACCUUUAUCAGGCAUCAGUCGCUUUUGUCUUUGAGAGAAGACGCGGGUCCCUAAACACGGACCGGCAAAAAGCGCCGGCAAACGCGGGGGUGGCGCCGGGGCACGAAGGCACCGGAGGGCUCUGCUCAAACACUCGCCCGUCUUGCAAAAGUGUGGCUUCUGAGCUGGGAAGUGGGGAAAUUCCACCUCGGGUUUGUUGUCUGGGGGUUGUGGGUUCGAUGUUUUUCUUCUGGUGAGGUGGAACUUGAGUUGGAUGUGGUAAAAGAAAAAUAAAGUGAAACCUUUGGACUUGCUGCCGUUACACAACGAGUUGUGCUGCAGGAAGGAAAACGACUGGGGCAAAAGGAUGAUCUUAUUGGCACCAUGGGGGUGAGGAUUCAACAGCCCAAGGGUUCAAGAUCCCGCCCUGCCUCCCUCAAGGAUGACUCACCGGAGGCUGGGGGUGAAUAACUCGUGAGUGACUGUGGCUUUUCUAAGCACUUCCCAAGGCAGAGGCACUGGCAGGACUUAAAAGGAGCUCUGGCAUGAAGGAGCAGGGUGAGGGUGUUGCACACUGUGAGCUGCAACCCAGGCUCUGUAUCCAAACCAAGGCACCUGCCUGCUUCAAAACUGGACCAGAAACCUCUGGCUCAGCAGAUCAGGGGUUUGAGAUGAUCCAUAUUGCAUAAAAUCCAGCUUCCUGCUCAACCUUGGAAUGUCCCAUCCCAGAUGAAACCCCCGUGGGGGUGAGAAAAGCCUGCGACCACCCCACAGGUUCCUCCUGCUGCCCGCCCCAGCCUGCCACACGCAAGCCCCGAGACUCCACCAAAGGACUGGGCUGCUCUUGUUACAUCUCCUUGCACAGCUACAACAGAACAAAAAAGGUAGAAAUUGGUUUUGGGGGUUUAUACACUGAGUUUCCCCCCAGAUUUCCCAAAGCACAGGGAGACAUUCUUCAGCCAGUGUGUCCUUUUCAUUCCUACCCCAGACUACGUGGUUUUCCCCACAUCUAAACUUCCGAGAGGAGCUUUCUCGUGUGGCAGGGUGCCACGGGAGCAGGAUCAGGCCACCACUCGGCUCUUUUUCUUGCUGUGCAUGUGACACCCAGCUCUAACAGCCCCCAGGGCUGCAGGUUCAAGGCCGAUUCUGUCAGAUGGGAAAACAGGGCCCCGUGCGGUUCCUUUGAACGGGGCUCGUGGUCAGGUGCUUUGCCGACUUGUUUACUUUGCUGCCGGCAGCUCUUCCUUAGCAGGGAAGAGCCAGGCUGCUUUUUUGGCAGGAGAUCCUGGGGUAUGAAUGGCUUUGCAGAGAGAAGGAGACGUUGUUUUGGGGUUAACUGAAAGGAUUCAUGUAAAACCUCAGCUCAACGGGGAAAACUUGGAAGAAAGAAGAUUAAAAAUAGACUCUUGCCUCUGCUGAGUCAUCUCCUGCUUUAAAACAUGGAUCGUGUUGAAACAGCUCCUCUGGGACCUGCUGCUGUCCCUGCAGCAUCUUGUUCUGGUCAGGGGAAGAGAGCCAAGGCAGUGGUAAUCAAAUCCUUUGAACUUGACCAUGGGUGGCUUUUAUUUAUCGAUGUCGCUGCCCUUCGCUCACCGCGGCCGUGCGGUGCGGCAGAGCUGCCCUCAGCACACACCCCGAGCUUGAAUGAAACACAACCCCGGUGAAAACGAAACCGGCAGCCACCGCUGGUUGUAAGCAGCAUUGCAUGAGCACACCACAGCCCUGACAGCUCUGCAGCCUCCUGAAUAAAACCAGAGGGUAAACCAU